GAUGAAGAACGUAGCGAAAUGCGAUAAGUAGUGUGAAUUGCAGAAUUCAGUGAAUCAUCGAAUCUUUGAACGCACAUUGCGCCCCUUGGUAUUCCUUAGGGCAUGCCUGUUCGAGCGUCAUUUAAACCUUCAAGCUCAGCUUGGUGUUGGGUGACUGUCCGCCGCCUCCGGGCGCGUGGACUCGCCUCAAAAUUAUUGGCGGCCGGUACAUUGGCUUCGAGCGCAGCAGAAACGCGAACUCGGGCCCGUCGUAUUGGCUCCCAGAAGCUAUCUUCACAAUUUUGACCUCGGAUCAGGUAGGGAUACCCGCUGAACUUAAGCAUAUCAAUAAGCGGAGGA
RNAcentral lists this unclassified non-coding RNA (339 nucleotides) under soil metagenome. Its description in RNAcentral is "partial contains 5.8S ribosomal RNA, internal transcribed spacer 2, and large subunit ribosomal RNA". The stretch from base 1 to 120 matches the Rfam family "5.8S ribosomal RNA", at positions 35 to 154 of the family's 154-position model. The record is from RNAcentral.